AUUCCAGCUCCAAUAGCGUAUAUUAAUGUUGUUGCAGUUAAAAAGCUCGUAGUUGGAUUUCUGGUUGGACCGCGAUGCCGGACUCGCAAGGGUUCGUGAUUGUUGUGGUUUCCUUCCAUCCUCAGGUUUGCGCGUGCUGGCCUUAACUGGUCGGUGGGUGUGGUCCUGUCGUUUACUGUGGACAAAUUAGAGUGUUCAAAGCAAGGUGUACUUGAAUACAUUAGCAUGGAAUAAUAAGAUAGGACUUUGGUGGUUCUUUUUGAUAUUUUGUUGGUUUGCACGCCAAAGUAAUGAUUAAUAGGAGCAGUUGGGGGUAUUCGUAUUCAAUUGUCAGAGGUGAAAUUCUUGAAUUUAUAGAAGACGAACUACUGCGAAAGCAUUUACCAAGGAUGUUUUCAUUG
This 401-nucleotide ribosomal RNA is filed under the name Pedinellales sp. Its description in RNAcentral is "partial small subunit ribosomal RNA". It matches the Rfam family "Eukaryotic small subunit ribosomal RNA", at positions 582 to 975 of the family's 1831-position model. The record is from RNAcentral. Lineage: Eukaryota; Dictyochophyceae; Pedinellales.